This 253-nucleotide ribosomal RNA is filed under the name uncultured bacterium. Its description in RNAcentral is "partial 16S ribosomal RNA". It matches the Rfam family "Bacterial small subunit ribosomal RNA", at positions 524 to 776 of the family's 1533-position model. The record is from RNAcentral.
UACGAAGGGGGCUAGCGUUGCUCGGAAUCACUGGGCGUAAAGGGUGCGUAGGCGGGUCUUUAAGUCAGUGGUGAAAUCCUGGAGCUCAACUCCAGAACUGCCUUUGAUACUGAAGAUCUUGAGUUCGGGAGAGGUGAGUGGAACUGCGAGUGUAGAGGUGAAAUUCGUAGAUAUUCGCAAGAACACCAGUGGCGAAGGCGGCUCACUGGCCCGAUACUGACGCUGAGGAGCGAAAGCGUGGGGAGCGAACAGG